This is a long non-coding RNA of Mastomys coucha (southern multimammate mouse), 744 nucleotides long. RefSeq lists it as uncharacterized. Lineage: Eukaryota; Metazoa; Chordata; Mammalia; Rodentia; Muridae. The transcript has 3 exons. The record is from RefSeq and is a predicted model, not a curated record.
CUCAGGGUCCUGCCUCAGAACUCUGAUUCCAAAACCAAGGGGCCUAUGCUCCUUGUGGCCACAGCAGACUCCCUAGUCCUGCCCUCAUGGGGACUUUUACAAACUGCCUCCCUCCCUCCUAAGCUACAAGCUCCUAUUUCUCCAACAACUGGGACAAUCAGGAGUGACAUUUUUUUCUGGCCCCACCUCACACAGUCCCUGUGGGGUUGGGGGGAAACCCGACCUUGCCUUCUGGCUCAGCAAAGCACUCAGGUGGCCUUGUGGGACACUCUUCCCAUCCUAGACACCUCCUUGUUCUACCACACAAGCCAUUGAACGCACAUGUCCCUUUCUCAGAUGUGAUGCCCUCUACCUUACCUGAACAUUGGAAGCCUCUGGGGGCAUUAAGUACAGAUGGAAACCUAAAGGCCUGGCCAGUCUUACGGUUGCUCAGGUCUAAUCUGAGUUGCCCCAAGUGUUUUCCUCCUUCAUGCCCAUGUCCACCAAUCAGCAAGUUUGCAUGUCCUACUGACCAAAGAUCUCCAGAUCUCCACCCCCACCCCACUGCUGUGUCUGCUCGGUCCAAACUGGAUCGGCUGCUGUGUCCAUCUUCCGGCUCCUCUUGUCCUACUGCGCUCUGGCUGAGACUUCAAGCACUGCCCUGAAGAGACAUGGAGAGCAUAAACACCUUUGUCUUCUUUCUCGGAGUUUUUCCUCACUCGCUACAAUGUUGGCUGCAGAUUUCUUGUGUGUAGUCUUUAUUAU